RNAcentral lists this ribosomal RNA (465 nucleotides) under Vreelandella stevensii. RNAcentral's name for it is "partial 16S ribosomal RNA". It matches the Rfam family "Bacterial small subunit ribosomal RNA", at positions 338 to 795 of the family's 1533-position model. Lineage: Bacteria; Pseudomonadati; Pseudomonadota; Gammaproteobacteria; Oceanospirillales; Halomonadaceae. The record is from RNAcentral.
CCUACGGGUGGCAGCAGUGGGGAAUAUUGGACAAUGGGGGGAACCCUGAUCCAGCCAUGCCGCGUGUGUGAAGAAGGCCCUCGGGUUGUAAAGCACUUUCAGUGAGGAAGAACGCCUGGUGGUUAAUACCCAUCAGGAAAGACAUCACUCACAGAAGAAGCACCGGCUAACUCCGUGCCAGCAGCCGCGGUAAUACGGAGGGUGCGAGCGUUAAUCGGAAUUACUGGGCGUAAAGCGCGCGUAGGUGGCUUGAUAAGCCGGUUGUGAAAGCCCCGGGCUCAACCUGGGAACGGCGUCCGGAACUGUCAAGCUAGAGUGCAGGAGAGGAAGGUAGAAUUCCCGGUGUAGCGGUGAAAUGCGUAGAGAUCGGGAGGAAUACCAGUGGCGAAGGCGGCCUUCUGGACUGACACUGACACUGAGGUGCGAAAGCGUGGGUAGCAAACAGGAUUAGAUACCCGGGUAGUC